GAUGAAGAACGUAGCGAAAUGCGAUACUUGGUGUGAAUUGCAGAAUCCCGUGAACCAUCGAGUCUUUGAACGCAAGUUGCGCCCGAAGCCAUUAGGCCGAGGGCACGCCUGCCUGGGCGUCACACGUCGUUGCCCCCCCAUCUACUCCUUCGGGAUUGCGGGGGGCGGAUGAUGGCCUCCCGUGCGCCUCGUCGCGCGGUUGGCAUAAAUACCAAGUCCUCGGCGACGCACGCCACGACAAUCGGUGGUUGCGAAACCUCGGUUGCCCGUCGUGUGCGGUCGUCGCGCAUCGAGGGCUCGAAAAAAUUGCCGGGCUCCGGCUCGGCUUUCAACGCGACCCCAGGUCAGGCGGGGUUACCCGCUGAAUUUAAGCAUAUCAAUUAAGCGGAGGA
This 392-nucleotide unclassified non-coding RNA is filed under the name soil metagenome. Its description in RNAcentral is "partial contains 5.8S ribosomal RNA, internal transcribed spacer 2, and large subunit ribosomal RNA". The stretch from base 1 to 122 matches the Rfam family "5.8S ribosomal RNA", at positions 35 to 154 of the family's 154-position model. The record is from RNAcentral.